Pongo abelii (Sumatran orangutan) is the source of this 148-nucleotide unclassified non-coding RNA. It matches the Rfam family "Metazoan signal recognition particle RNA". Rfam says of the family: The signal recognition particle (SRP) is a universally conserved ribonucleoprotein. It is involved in the co-translational targeting of proteins to membranes. The record is from Ensembl. Lineage: Eukaryota; Metazoa; Chordata; Mammalia; Primates; Hominidae.
GCCAGGCAUGGUGGUGCAUGCCUGUAGUCCCAGCCACUCAGGAGGCUGAGGUGGGAGGAUCGCUUGAGCCCAGGAGGUUGAGGCUGUAGUGAGCUAUGAUGGCACCAUUGCAUUCCAGCCUGGGUGACAGAGCAAGACCUUGUCUCUU